UAAUACGUAGGGGGCAAGCGUUGUCCGGAUUCAUUGGGCGUAAAGAGCGUGUAGGCGGCUAGGUAGGUCGGUUGUGAAAACUGGAGGCUCAACCUUCAGAGGUCGACCGAAACCAUCUGGCUAGAGUCCGGGAGAGGAGAGUGGAAUUCCUGGUGUAGCGGUGAAAUGCGCAGAUAUCAGGAAGAACACCCGUGGCGAAAGCGGCUCUCUGGAACGGUACUGACGCUGAGACGCGAAAGCGUGGGGAGCGAACAGGAUUAGAUACCCUGGUAGUCCACGCCGUAAACGAUGGGCACUAGGUGUGGGAGGUGUCGACUCCUCCCGUGCCGAAGCUAACGCAUUAAGUGCCCCGCCUGGGGAGUACGGCCGCAAGGCU
RNAcentral lists this ribosomal RNA (376 nucleotides) under uncultured bacterium. Its description in RNAcentral is "bacterial SSU rRNA". It matches the Rfam family "Bacterial small subunit ribosomal RNA", at positions 521 to 895 of the family's 1533-position model. The record is from RNAcentral.